Molecule: ribosomal RNA, 308 nt
Filed under: uncultured marine eukaryote
Lineage: Eukaryota
Description: bacterial SSU rRNA
Source: RNAcentral
GUCUCCGUGUGCCGCUCCCAAUCAACCCGCGUUUGCCCCAGCCUCCUAUCGCACGGAAACGGAGUCCUGCUGGGGUCUCCUUAACUGGGGGUUCCAGCGCUUCCGCGCACAACGUGCGCUUACGGACCGUCCGUGGACGUUACUGUGAACAAAACAGCGUGUUCAAAGCAAGUGGCUUGCCUGCCCUGCAUGUUAAAGCAUGGAAUAACAAGGCAUCGACCACUCGGCGGUGCUUUUGUUGGUCUUUCCCUCCCGGUGGRAAUGCGCAGGCGUGCACACUGCCGGCCUUCUGGCCGUUCUGGGUGCCG